GCCGGGCAUGGUGGUGCAUGCCUGUAAUCCCAGCUACUCAGGAGGCUGAGGCAGGAGAAUCACUUGAGCCUGGGAGGUGGAGGUAGCAGUGAGCCAAGAUCGUGCCACUGCACUCCAGCCUAGGUGACAGAGGGAGACUCUGUCUCAA
This is an unclassified non-coding RNA of Pongo abelii (Sumatran orangutan), 148 nucleotides long. It matches the Rfam family "Metazoan signal recognition particle RNA". From Rfam's summary of the family: The signal recognition particle (SRP) is a universally conserved ribonucleoprotein. It is involved in the co-translational targeting of proteins to membranes. The eukaryotic SRP consists of a 300-nucleotide 7S RNA and six proteins: SRPs 72, 68, 54, 19, 14, and 9. The record is from Ensembl. Lineage: Eukaryota; Metazoa; Chordata; Mammalia; Primates; Hominidae.